UCAGAUUGAACGCUGGCGGCAUGGUUUAACACAUGCAAGUCGAACGAUGACUCUCUAGCUUGCUAGAGAUGAUUAGUGGCGGACGGGUGAGUAACAUUUAGGAAUCUACCUAGUAGUGGGGGAUAGCUCGGGGAAACUCGAAUUAAUACCGCAUACGACCUACGGGUGAAAGGGGGCGCAAGCUCUUGCUAUUAGAUGAGCCUAAAUCAGAUUAGCUAGUUGGUGGGGUAAAGGCCCACCAAGGCGACGAUCUGUAACUGGUCUGAGAGGAUGAUCAGUCACACCGGAACUGAGACACGGUCCGGACUCCUACGGGAGGCAGCAGUGGGGAAUAUUGGACAAUGGGGGCAACCCUGAUCCAGCCAUGCCGCGUGUGUGAAGAAGGCCUUUUGGUUGUAAAGCACUUUAAGCAGGGAGGAGAGGCUAAUGGUUAAUACACAUUAGAUUAGACGUUACCUGCAGAAUAAGCACCGGCUAACUCUGUGCCAGCAGCCGCGGUAAUACAGAGGGUGCGAGCGUUAAUCGGAAUUACUGGGCGUAAAGCGAGUGUAGGUGGCUCAUUAAGUCACAUGUGAAAUCCCCGGGCUUAACCUGGGAACUGCAUGUGAUACUGGUGGUGCUAGAAUAUGUGAGAGGGAAGUAGAAUUCCAGGUGUAGCGGUGAAAUGCGUAGAGAUCUGGAGGAAUACCGAUGGCGAAGGCAGCUUCCUGGCAUAAUAUUGACACUGAGAUUCGAAAGCGUGGGUAGCAAACAGGAUUAGAUACCCUGGUAGUCCACGCCGUAAACGAUGUCUACUAGCCGUUGGGGUCCUUGAGACUUUAGUGGCGCAGUUAACGCGAUAAGUAGACCGCCUGGAGACGCCGCCUUUGAG
This 871-nucleotide ribosomal RNA is filed under the name Moraxellaceae bacterium M_Sw_oHS_10/11_7_1(1). RNAcentral describes it as "bacterial SSU rRNA". It matches the Rfam family "Bacterial small subunit ribosomal RNA". Lineage: Bacteria; Pseudomonadati; Pseudomonadota; Gammaproteobacteria; Moraxellales; Moraxellaceae. The record is from RNAcentral.